RNAcentral lists this ribosomal RNA (292 nucleotides) under uncultured microorganism. RNAcentral's name for it is "partial 16S ribosomal RNA". It matches the Rfam family "Bacterial small subunit ribosomal RNA", at positions 505 to 796 of the family's 1533-position model. The record is from RNAcentral.
GUGCCAGCAGCCGCGGUAAUACGUAGGGUGCAAGCGUAAAUCGGAAUUACUGGGCGUAAAGCGUGCGCAGGCGGCUGUGCAAGUCAGAUGUGAAAUCCCCGGGCUCAACCUGGGAACUGCAUCUGAUACUGGCAAGCUUGAGUCUCGUAGAGGGGGGUAGAAUUCCAGGUGUAGCGGUGAAAUGCGUAGAGAUCAGGAGGAAUACCGGUGGCGAAGGCGGCCCCCUGGACGAAGACUGACGCUCAGGUGCGAAAGCGUGGGGAGCAAACAGGAUUAGAUACCCUGGUAGUCC